Thiocystis violascens DSM 198 is the source of this 152-nucleotide non-coding RNA. The record is from Rfam. Lineage: Bacteria; Pseudomonadati; Pseudomonadota; Gammaproteobacteria; Chromatiales; Chromatiaceae.
GAAAGCCGUGUGCGGGAGAACCGCAUGCACGGUUUGAUGAGGGAGGGCUGGGAGUCACAGCCAUGUCCUGGCUAUUUAGGCACCGCGAAACGAAAGGCGCGGUAACAGAUAAGCCAUGGCUACCGCGAUGGGCGACCUGCUCUCUACUCUAC